CAGUAUUUGAUGAGUCUGAAUGAAAAUCUGAUGAAACAGAUGUUACUUGAAGCUGAGUGACUUUCUCAGGGUCAAGCAAAUAAGUAAAUGCAGGAGCCAGAAUUAUACCCCAGGAUCCCCAUCACAAGGAGGGGAGGGCUACCAUCCCAGCUGCAAACUCUCAUUCAAAGUUUAUGCUGCAGCCAGCAGUGUCCUUGGAGUCUAGUUCAAAGCUGAAGAGAGUGAACCAUGGAACUGGGAGCCAUUGGCGGAGAGGCUGGCCUGAAGGAAGGGAAGUGUUUCAGCCAGAAUGCACUGACGCACAACCAGGAAACCACAAGACUGGUGAGAACCUUUCCAAAACUGAGCUUUAUGAUCAAAAGAGGUACAGGAAACAGCUCUGCCAAGAGUCCUUUCUGCUCCUGGCUGGAACCCUGAGCUUCUGAGGCUCUCUGAGUCAACUCCCUGAACAGAUGCUGUCACCCAAGGAACCAUCACUAAAGCAUUUUUUUGCUUUGCUCUGAGGUGGCCUCACUGGUGGGUGCAAGUGAGUUACUGUCUCUUUUUCUCUUUCUUGUUUCUUUCUUUUGACAGAAGUUGCCAUAUGAUUACUCAAUUCUGAAUUUUCAGGGGCCAUAGGUUACUGGAUUUAUGCCCUUUGCCAACUGACUAUUGUUUGGUGCUGGGCCUGUAUACAAACACGACAUCCCCAAACUCUUAUCAAUACCUAGAUCACCUGACGUGAAUCUAUCAAUACCCUGGACUUAACAGGGUGCUGAAGGAAAGAGAACCAGCAAUUCCUUCAUUUCUUACAUCCCAGCCAGUAGUCCUUCUCCCAGGCUAGUCUUCCUUUUGUUUCCCCUAAGAAUGACUCAACUAGGAAUUGCAUUCAGAUCCCUGUCACAGAUAUAAAUCUUGUCUGGAUACAAGGUCAAAAUAAUUGUGUUCCUGUGGAUUCUUUUUCUUUUUUCAACCAGAGUAACUACCAGUUGCCAUGAAAUAAAUCACAUCAUCAUAUGGCAGAUCCAGCUAAUAGCUGAGACUGGCAGGAUAACUGAACCGUGUCCUCAGAGCUAAAUGAUGGAGAAAUUGGACUGGCCAUGGAGCACUUCAAAUUGAUUGCUUAGUAAUGGGAUAUUUUUCCUGGAAAGACAACAGAAUACUUCUGAAUUGUUGGUUCUGUCAUGGGUACAGGCUCCCAUGUACAGGAAAAUAAAGAAAGUGUGAUGAAUUUUUCAUCUGGCCUUCUGCCUACUUUCUUGCUUUCUGCAUGUCUCCAUUUUUAGUCUGUAAGCCCUGCCUAGAUGACCAAUCACUAUUGCCCAUGUGGCAUAAAACCUACAAUUUAACUAUACUUCUUACGAAACUCUCAGCAAGUAUGAGGUAGCCAACAGCUUUUUCAAGAUAAUGACUGAGUCUUAGCUUAGGUUUCAGUCAUUUUAGGAAACAUAAAAAAUUCAAUGGUGGGAGAUCAUACACCCUCUUCAAAGAUGUCAGAGAUCAAGUUUUGGGAGAGUCCACACACAAACUCAGCAGUGAUGGUAAAAUGUAUUUUUGAAAUAUUUCUCCUCUGUGACUGUUAUGUGAAGUAAAGCAAACACAUUGUGCUGCAGUGUUCUUUGGGACAUGCCUUUUUUGGGAAGUGCUAACUUUAUACUCUGCUGACACCAAACAUUUGAAUAUAAAACCUUAUUUUUUUCUCUCACUCUGCUCCACUUUUGGCUCAGCUUAUUCUACCAAAACACACUUCAAAAGACUUCUUUAUAGAAAGAAUGUUUCAAAAAUAUAAUAUUUCCAUCUGUUAUUUCAAUAAUACAUGCUCUGGGACUCUCUUUAUGAACCAUUUUCCUUUCUUUGCUCCCAUUUAGAUGUAUAAAUAUUUGAUUCUAAAGCUCUAAGGAAUAGUCAGCCAAUCGGGUCACUGAAUUGUGAACAUUCCUAACCCUAUAAUUUUGUCUGUAGCAGGCACCUCCUGCUGUGGAACUAACUGCUAAGGGAUUAUAGCAAUGUAAUCCUCAGACUGUUCCAUCUCAAGGUUACUCUGAAGUGGAGGGAAGGAAGCCGUUUUAAUUUUGAUAAAAUAAACUUUAUUUUGUAACUUU
This 2081-nucleotide non-coding RNA is filed under the name Pan troglodytes (chimpanzee). The record is from RNAcentral. Lineage: Eukaryota; Metazoa; Chordata; Mammalia; Primates; Hominidae.